UAGGGAAUAUUGGACAAUGGGGGAAACCCUGAUCCAGCCACGCCGCGUGGGUGACGGAGGCCUUCGGGUCGUAAAGCCCUGUCAGGAGGGACGAGGAGAUUGCCGGUUAAUACCCGGUGGUUUUGACGGUACC
Molecule: ribosomal RNA, 133 nt
Filed under: uncultured bacterium
Lineage: Bacteria
Description: partial 16S ribosomal RNA
Rfam family: Bacterial small subunit ribosomal RNA
Source: RNAcentral